GGCUUAUAAUUGAAGUCUGGCAUGAAAGAAUCUACGGGUAGUCACUGUCUUCAUUAGUUUUUCUGAACUUCCUUAAGAGGUGAAAAUGCCUUUAAACAUAAAAUAGACGAGAAGACCCUAGAAAUUUUUUACACAUUUAGAUUGAUCUAUUUUCUAUUUUGUUGGGGCGACAGAAUAACAUUUAACUUAUUUUAUUUAAUGUGCACUAUGUAAUGUGGAAAAACAAAUUACUCUAGGGAUAACAGCAUAAUUUUACUAGUUUGUGACCUCGAUGUUGGACUAGGGAUUUUAUUAACCAGCAGUUAACUGAACAUGCUCUGU
Molecule: ribosomal RNA, 321 nt
Filed under: Candidula rugosiuscula
Lineage: Eukaryota; Metazoa; Mollusca; Gastropoda; Stylommatophora; Geomitridae
Description: partial 16S ribosomal RNA
Source: RNAcentral